GCGGAGGGCGCCGCACCGUCAGGGAGUCGCGAGGGGAGGCGCAAAUGUUGCGGAGCUGCACGCCGCCUCUCCGUAUAUUAAGCAGCCGCUCGCACGCUCGCCCUCAGUCCGUUUGCACUCCGGUGCGCGCUGUGGAUGACGACAACUUCAACUCCCACCUUCACGCUCCUCCUUGGUGCAUUUGUGAUUUCCGACAGGAUCUUCUCUACUGGAUUACCUUUUUUAUUAUUAUUAUUAUUCCAAAGAGAACUUUUAGAAAAGCCUUUUUCUAAAACAGUCAGGAUUCGUGUGUGUGUGACGGACAAGUGCACCGCGCGUCUGGCUUGACUUGGGCUCGUCCCACUUUUUGAGGAGCUAUGCCGAGCUGCGUCGCUCAGCUUGUCGCGCAGGAGUGACACACGCGCACACACACACACGCAAAACCAAAAACCAAAAGCCAAUCCAAUCAAUCACACUUUCUUCCACGCAAAUCUCGACCGGAGCAGCAGCAUUCUCUCCCCCCCCCCCGCCGUGAGGGGAUGGUCGAGGGUCCUCGGGGGCCAGGAGCGACUGCGCGGCUCCUCCACGACCGCUUCGUCUCGUUUGGGGUUCAGUCCAAAUUCAAAAGGAGAUGAGAGCCGCAAUUUACUACUUCCUGCUGUGGACGACGUACCUGCUGCUGGCCACCGCUCAGGAAGUGCACUUUCCCCAGGAGCUGAUCGACAGAUUGUCCCGCAGUGAAAUCCACAGCAUCAGCGACCUCCAGCGGCUGCUCGAAAUUGACUCCGUAGGUACGGGAAACGAUGUCAUCGAGGAGCCCAAGCAUCACAAGCACCACCACCACCACCAGCACCACCAGCAACACCAGCACAAGAAUUCCUCCCGCCAUCCGGGUUACUAUAGCGACCUGAAGAGCUCGCAGCUACACAGCCGCCGCAAGAGGAGCCUCGUGGAGGAGGCGGUCCCCGCGGCGUGCAAGACGCGGACGGUGAUCUACGAGAUCCCCAGGAGCCAGGUGGACCCCACGUCGGCCAACUUCCUGAUAUGGCCGCCCUGCGUGGAAGUCAAACGCUGCACGGGCUGCUGCAACACCAGCAACAUGCGCUGCCAGGCCUCGCGCAAGCACCACCGCACCGUUAAGGUGGCCAAGGUGGAGUACGUCAAAAGGAGGCCCAAGCUGAAAGAGGUCUUCGUACGGUUAGAAGACCACCUGGAGUGCGUGUGCACGUCGCAGCAUCACGUCGUGGAGCACGCCGACGCAGAAACAGGCCACCGUAGGGCAAAAGGUAAAAAAAGGAAAUCUAAAAAGCUAAGGGCCCGCAAGGAUUUAUUGGUGACGUAACACAAGUCGCACCCAUUGCCCCGCCCACGCGCCCACCCCCCUCCAAGUCUCCCUCUCAAUGGAAAGCUGUGAAGGGAACAGUGGACGUGAGGUGAGGACGUCAGCCUGGGCUCAUCGUCGCUACACAAAAGAACUUUUCCUAAUUAAGACUGACGAACUUAAGAAACAAUGAUGCCAAAGGUGCUUUUUUUUUAAUGAUUAUUUUUUUGCUUAAAAAACAAAACAAAUAAAAGACUACCCAGGGAUGAUGAGGAGCGAGCGACGCAAAGGGAGACGAAGAAAGGGAUUUUCGUGUUUGGGACACUACGGCGGUGUUUGAACAAAGCGGCGGAGGACCUCCCGCAGGCCAACUCAAGUGCCCCGCCCCUCUUUUAAACGGACGCGGGACGAAAGACGCCGACCGUGUACAGAGCCGGACGCUCUUUACGAACGAUUUAUACACGUGGACGCUCCGGAGGACUCGUCCAAUUUUCGCUAUCGUCAUCCUAUUAUUAUUGACAGUGUAUCGUCGAGUCUUGUGUACGCUUUGGAUUAACGACGGGAGGAGACGCGGGGAAAAGCCAAGUAGCAGGAAGAUGCUUUAUUUUUGUUAUGAAAUAUAUUACGCUUACUUUUCAUUGGUUAUUGAAUGUCUGUAUUUAAUCCAUUUUCGGGCGAGAAAAGAAAAAGAAAAAUGCUCCUUUAGGUGCGAAAAUUAGGCGGACGCUAUCGGGAUUGUACGCGGACACGAGCUGUUUUUCAGCCGUAUCACUGUAAUGCUGAUAAGGAGGAUGCCCACCCAGUCUGCUGUAACACACACACACACACACACACACACACACACAGAGAGAGCAAAGUUCACCUUAAAGAGUGAAUGAAUAAGCAGAGCAUGAAUGAGCUCCUUGUUCGGGGCCCGGCUUUGCUCUCCACGCAAUCCCCUCACACACAUCACAAACACGCAUCACAAUGGCACGGAACAAACUGUUAUUUUUGUGCAAGCGGUGUCAAAGCAAGCGAGUCGCCGUCCAAACGCGACGCUAUCAGCUGAGACGACGCAAAGUCCCGCCGUCGUCGAGGGUGCUUUUAUUUAUACGCCACCACGUGUCUCGCCACUGUUUUUUUUUUUGUUGUUUUUUUUAUUUUGCAAUCCAAUAACAAACAACAACAAAAAUCAAUUCAUAAUGUCAUUUUUUUUUUUUUUUUUUUACAAAAAGAAAACAAAACAAAACCUUUCUUUAUUGGAUAAAGACAGCAAUAAUCAUAAUUUAUCUAUUUAUGUUGAACAAUAAAUGUAUUUCUGAAUGAAGUGUU
Phyllopteryx taeniolatus (common seadragon) is the source of this 2611-nucleotide RNA transcript. It is a transcript of the gene named platelet-derived growth factor alpha polypeptide b, with no coding region annotated. The record is from RefSeq and is a predicted model, not a curated record. The transcript is spliced from 7 exons. NCBI's taxonomy places the organism in Eukaryota, Metazoa, Chordata, Actinopteri, Syngnathiformes, Syngnathidae.